AGUGAACGCUGGCGGUAGGCCUAACACAUGCGAGUCGAACGGCAGCACAGUAAGAGCUUGCUCUUACGGGUGGCGAGUGGCGGACGGGUGAGGAAUACAUCGGAAUCUACUUUUUCGUGGGGGAUAACGUAGGGAAACUUACGCUAAUACCGCAUACGACCUACGGGUGAAAGCAGGGGAUCUUCGGACCUUGCGCGAUUGAAUGAGCCGAUGUCGGAUUAGCUAGUUGGCGGGGUAAAGGCCCACCAAGGCGACGAUCCGUAGCUGGUCUGAGAGGAGGACAAGCAACACUGGACCUGAGACACGGCCAGGCCUCCUCCGGGGGGAAGCAGGGGGGAUUAUUGGACAAGGGGCGCAAGCCUGACCCACCAAUCCCGGGGGGGGAAAGAAGGCUUUGGGGUUGAAAACCCUUUUUUUGGGGAAAAAAAAGCAGCAGGUUAAUACCCGCCUGUUCUGACGGUACCAAAAAAAUAAGCACCGGCUAACUUCGUC
RNAcentral lists this ribosomal RNA (492 nucleotides) under uncultured bacterium. Its description in RNAcentral is "partial 16S ribosomal RNA". It matches the Rfam family "Bacterial small subunit ribosomal RNA", at positions 29 to 507 of the family's 1533-position model. The record is from RNAcentral.